UUUCUUCAUCAAAAUCAUGAGUCAAUCCAAAGUUCCAAACUAAAGAAUACCUAACAAGAGGGUAAGUACACAUUGUAAAAAUAUUGUUUAGUUUAUUCAUAAUUACUAGAUGUAUUCUUAGUUUCUUACCAUUAAACGUUUGACAAUCUAAUCACUGUAAAAGGUCCUAUAGAUGGUUCUAUGAAUAAUGCAUUAGGCACUGCUCGCUGCUUUGUAGAAUGACAAAAUCUUUUUACUAGCACAAGUUAAAAUAUUUGUAGUAUAGAUUUAUUAAGUAUAUGUUAAGAUCAAAUCUAUACUUAAAAUAUUUGUAAAAUAUUUGCAGGUUAACGAAUACAACUUUAAUUAUUUUUUAUGGUAGCCAAGAUAGGAUGAUGUCGUCGGCCACGGACAUAGCAUCAUCGGCACCUCCAGCGAUUACUUUUUUUGAAAAUCCGGCACAAUAAAGAUUCUUCUCUUAUUUCCAAUGCUUUGGCAUCGGUGCUUUGGGAAUCCAUCCUAUUUUUGUGAUAUUAUACAGGACUAUGAAUACGUGGUGAAGAAGAAUGGAUUCCCCAAAGCACCGAUGCCAGAUCAUUGGAAAGGAGAGAAGAAUCUUUACUGUGCCGGAUUUUAAAGAAAAGGAAUCGUCGGAGGUGCCGAGGAUGCUAUGUCCAUCGCCGACGACAUCAGAUCUAUCUUGGCUACCAUAAAAAAUAAUUGAAGCUGUAUUCGUUAACCUGCAAGAUAUUAAGACUCAAUAAUAAAAUGAAAGAGAGAAACAAAUAGUAGGAGGUAAGAAUAUCUAUAUGUAUUCAUGUCUACUCUAGUGCGUCAUGUCUCUAAUAUCCGUAAAAUAAUAAAACAUAAUUAAAGCUGUAUUCCGUGAAAAUACUAAGACUUAAUAAAAUAAUGAAAGUGAGAAAAAAAAAAUAGUAAGAAGUAAGAAAAUCAAUAUGUAUUCAUCUACUCUAGUAGACUAGUACUGUAUUUUGCCAUUUUGGGGGGUCUCAUUCACGAAUAUGUAAUAUGCCAUAUAUAUAUAUAUAUAUAGUUUGAUUAUUCUACUCGUAAAUGUAGUGUUUAUGAAUAAUAGCGGUUCUUACCGUUUAAAAAUAGUUUUAGAAAUUAUUUUCAACUAUUUGGAACCGCUCAAAAUCGUUGAAUUUAA
RNAcentral lists this small RNA (1150 nucleotides) under Arabidopsis thaliana (thale cress). RNAcentral describes it as "ATSL049110". The record is from RNAcentral. Lineage: Eukaryota; Viridiplantae; Streptophyta; Magnoliopsida; Brassicales; Brassicaceae.